AGUUUCUCCCUAUCCCACCCGUGCUCCUCAUAUAAAUGUAUUACAUUAUUUUAAUAUUGUUAUUUAUAAUGUCUCCUUUUAGAAAACCGAGAAACAUCUAAAAAUCGGAAGAGUCAUUGGAGAGGGUCCAUUUUGUCGAGUUCAUCUGGGAUGGCAUAUUGACCUACAAAAAGAAGUGGCCAUAAAGAUCAUCAAUGACCCGGAGGUAAUGA
This is a long non-coding RNA of Xenopus laevis (African clawed frog), 212 nucleotides long. RefSeq lists it as uncharacterized. The transcript has 2 exons. The record is from RefSeq and is a predicted model, not a curated record. Lineage: Eukaryota; Metazoa; Chordata; Amphibia; Anura; Pipidae.